GAAGGUGGGGAUGACGUCAAGUCAUCAUGGCCCUUACGACCAGGGCUACACACGUGCUACAAUGGCGCAUACAAAGAGAAGCGACCUCGCGAGAGCAAGCGGACCUCAUAAAGUGCGUCGUAGUCCGGAUUGGAGUCUGCAACUCGACUCCAUGAAGUCGGAAUCGCUAGUAAUCGUGGAUCAGAAUGCCACGGUGAAUACGUUCCCGGGCCUUGUACACACCGCCCGUCACACCAUGGGAGUGGGUUGCAAAAGAAGUAGGUAGCUUAACCUUCGGGAGGGCGCUUACCACUUUGUGAUUCAUGACUGGGGUGAAGUCGUAACAAGGUAACCGUAGGGGAACCUGCGGUUGGAUCACCUCCUU
RNAcentral lists this ribosomal RNA (364 nucleotides) under Escherichia coli. RNAcentral describes it as "bacterial SSU rRNA". It matches the Rfam family "Bacterial small subunit ribosomal RNA", at positions 1169 to 1532 of the family's 1533-position model. Lineage: Bacteria; Pseudomonadati; Pseudomonadota; Gammaproteobacteria; Enterobacterales; Enterobacteriaceae. The record is from RNAcentral.